AUUGAACGCUGGCGGCAUGCCUUACACAUGCAAAUCGAACGGUAACGGGCCUUCGGGUGCCGACGAGUGGCGAACGGGUGAGUAAUACAUCCGAACGUGCCCGAUCCUGGGGGAUAACGAGGCGAAAGCUUUGCUAAUACCCCAUACGAUCUACGGCUGACAGCAGGGGACCGCCUGGCCUUUCGCGGCCGGAGCGGCCGAUGGCAGACUAGGUAGUUGGUGGGAUAAAAGCUUACCAAGCCGACGAUCUGUAGCUGGUCUGGGAGGAUGAUCAGCCACACUGGGACUGAGACACGGCCCAGAAUCAUACGGGAGGCAGCAGUGGGGAAUUUUGGACAAUGGACGCAAGCCUGAUCCAGCCAUGCCGCGUGCAGGAUGAAGGCCUUCGGGUUGUAAACUGAUUUUGUACGGAACGAAAAGCCUUCUUUUAAUACAGGAGGGUCAUGACGGUACCGUAAGAAUAAGCACCGGCUAACUACGUG
This 482-nucleotide ribosomal RNA is filed under the name uncultured bacterium. Its description in RNAcentral is "partial 16S ribosomal RNA". It matches the Rfam family "Bacterial small subunit ribosomal RNA", at positions 30 to 507 of the family's 1533-position model. The record is from RNAcentral.